Molecule: ribosomal RNA, 809 nt
Filed under: uncultured bacterium
Lineage: Bacteria
Description: bacterial SSU rRNA
Rfam family: Bacterial small subunit ribosomal RNA
Source: RNAcentral
AGAGUUUGAUCAUGGCUCAGAAUCAACGCUGGCGGCGUGCCUAACACAUGCAAGUCGAACGCGAAAGUCCCGCAAGGGAUCAGUAGAGUGGCAAACGGGUGAGUAACGCGUGGGUGACCUGCCCUCGAGCGGGGGAUAACGUUCCGAAAGGGACGCUAAUACCGCAUGACAUCCUGCCUUUGAAGAGGCGGAGAUCAAAGCUGGGGAUCGCAAGACCUAGCACUCGAAGAGGGGCCCGCGUCUGAUUAGCUAGUUGGUGGGGUAACGGCUCACCAAGGCAACGAUCAGUAUCCGGCCUGAGAGGGCGGACGGACACACUGGGACUGAGACACGGCCCAGACUCCUACGGGAGGCAGCAGUGGGGAAUUGUUCGCAAUGGGCGCAAGCCUGACGACGCAACGCCGCGUGGAGGAUGAAGAUCUUCGGGUCGUAAACUCCUUUCGAUCGAGACGAAUGGCUUCCGGGUGAACAAUCCGGGAGAGUGACGGUACCGAGAGAAGAAGCCCCGGCUAACUCCGUGCCAGCAGCCGCGGUAAUACGGGGGGGGCAAGCGUUGUUCGGAAUUACUGGGCGUAAAGGGCUCGUAGGUGGCCAACUAAGUCAGACGUGAAAUCCCUCGGCUUAACCGGGGAACUGCAUCUGAUACUGGAUGGCUUGAGAUUGGGAGAGGGAUGCGGAAUUCCAGGUGUAGCGGUGAAAUGCGUAGAUAUCUGGAGGAACACCGGUGGCGAAGGCGGCAUCCUGGACCAACACUGACGCUGAGGAGCGAAAGCCAGGGGAGCAAACGGGAUUAGAUACCCUAGUAGUCC